GGGUGAUUAGCUCAGCUGGGAGAGCACCUCCCUUACAAGGAGGGGGUCGGCGGUUCGAUCCCGUCAUCACCACC
RNAcentral lists this transfer RNA (74 nucleotides) under Escherichia coli. Its description in RNAcentral is "tRNA-Val(tac)". It matches the Rfam family "tRNA". From Rfam's summary of the family: Transfer RNA (tRNA) molecules are approximately 80 nucleotides in length. Their secondary structure includes four short double-helical elements and three loops (D, anti-codon, and T loops). Further hydrogen bonds mediate the characteristic L-shaped molecular structure. tRNAs have two regions of fundamental functional importance: the anti-codon, which is responsible for specific mRNA codon recognition, and the 3' end, to which the tRNAs corresponding amino acid is attached (by aminoacyl-tRNA synthetases). tRNAs cope with the degeneracy of the genetic code in two manners: having more than one tRNA (with a specific anti-codon) for a particular amino acid; and 'wobble' base-pairing, i.e. permitting non-standard base-pairing at the 3rd anti-codon position. Lineage: Bacteria; Pseudomonadati; Pseudomonadota; Gammaproteobacteria; Enterobacterales; Enterobacteriaceae. RNAcentral also lists the same sequence under 2 other names. The record is from RNAcentral.